Molecule: long non-coding RNA, 2019 nt
Filed under: Carica papaya (papaya)
Lineage: Eukaryota; Viridiplantae; Streptophyta; Magnoliopsida; Brassicales; Caricaceae
Description: long non-coding RNA (CPAP_LNC005968)
Source: RNAcentral
CUGUUUCAGAUUAGAAUUCCAAGAAUUCUAUUUCACAAAAGGAGUUGGAGCCCCACUAGACAAUAUAUACAGCACAUUCUGACAAAAAGAGAACUGCUAAAAAGAUUUGACACCUUUCUGUAAGUGGAAACAUCUCAAUUCCCUGGUGUAAGAAAAAAUCCGAUCUAACAAUAUUUGCAAUUUUAACAAAGUUGCAUUAGACUGCUGUGGGCCAGGGGCAUGUGGUGGGUCAACCAGUAGGACCACUCUGCAUGCCUGGCCAACUCAGCAAUGUAUUAGCACUUAACAAGUUGCAUUUGUCUCUACUAGCCUGCUUUAGCAAUAUAACUAUCAAAUGACUAACAGCUAACAAACCUAUAGACUCAUUAACAAGAAAUUUUUCAGUGAAUAAGACAUCAAGCCAGCUGCUCGUAGAGUUUGGAUCGAGAGCAAGUUCUUUCAUGCACUUCCAUUUUUCUUUCAACUACUGUUUUUAAUGAAAAAUGGCAACUGGAGCAGAUACUCAAGAAUCAGUUUCAACAACGGUAUGAAUCAAUUCUUCCAUCUAGCUGUACUGUGAUAUUUUGUAACUAGAACUGCUACCAUACUGUUUCUAAUUUGUUUUAGAUCUAGAUUAACUCUGGAUUCUGCAUCCAUAAAGUUCUAAGACAAUAGCAGCAAAUAGUAUGUUCUGGAAUAGUUUAAAAGGUUCCCAAGAUCAUGUGCGAGUCGAGAAGAAAAAUACAUAUUCUUCCCCUGAAAAUAAAAGGUGCGAGAACUCAGAAUCAACAGAUCGUAUUCAGUCUUUACCUAUAUACAUAUAUAUAUAUAUAAACUAGAGAAGUGUAUAAAAGUCUCUUUUAUCUCUUCUUUAAGCUCAAAGUGUGAAUCUUUUUUAUCGAUGUGAAAAAUAAAAAUAAAAAAGAAAAUUUUUCUCAGGUUCAGGUAGUUUUCAGAUUUAUUUCCCAGCGAUGCUAGUUAAUACCCUCCUUUUUUCUUUUCACUUUCAGUUUUGACUUCUUUGAUCGAGGUUGGCUCCUGCAACCAAGAAUUUAACACUUAACAUGUUUCUCUUCUUUAACUUCUACGGUAUACGUUGGAGAAAAGUCAUUUAGAACUUGAAAAUUUGUAAAAUUACUUUUGUUCAACAUAGAUCCUAAUGGUUCUCCAAAAUAGAAACGAACGACUAUUUAACUUCUGUUUGAAAUCAUUAUAAUUUAUUUCCAAAUUGUAUCAAAUUUAAUGAAAUUUGAAAUAUAUUACUUCAAUUUUACUUGGAAUUUAUUUGGCAUCGAAUUUUCAUGUUUUCAUGAUAUAGUUAAAUAAAUAAAUUCCAUGAAUUCAACAAAAUAGCUCAUUUUCCGAAAAUACCCUUAUGUUCCUAUAUUUACCACUGGUCAGCUACAGCUUUCUAAAUACCAGAAAACAAAGAUCUUUUGGGUCUAGAGAAGGCCUAGUUUGUUGAGUUUUAAUAAUAUCAAAAAAGAAAAAAAUCAGUAGGACGUAGCUGAACCCCAUCACAGCUGCAAGAACAUGAGUUAUGUCAAGAUACAUCAAGUUUAGUUCAAAUUUUCUUUUUUUAUGGAUGAGAUAUGAAAUGUUCGGUACGAAGGUAGAGUAAGUAUAAUAUCCCUCAAGACGAUAUGUAAUAUAUUCCAAACAUCGAAGUUUAUAGAUGGAUUCUCCAGUAGCCACUGCAAGCUAACUGUUCAACUAAAAAGUCAACUUUGACCUUAUAAUUUGUGCUAGAUGAAUCACCUGUAAUCUACAUUUAGAAGAAUGGCUGCGGUUGCUCCAACAUAAUUGGAAAAUGAUCAAGAUGGUAGAUUAACGUUAGAAUGUUGAAGUUCAAGAUAGGAAAUUAAUUCCAUUAAAUUUCUCAGAACUCGGUGGACACAUAUGUUUUCCUAUGUGAUUUCUUCUGACAGUGAAUGUUGAUUCCUAUAGGCCCAGACACUAAACAUGCAAGCAGAAGUUGUUGAUGAAGUUGAAACCAUGAAAACCGUCCUUCAAAGCAAUGUUGCAACCUCAGAAGAUGAA